UUAAAGAGUUCUAUAACUCCCAAACCCAUGUGAACAUACCUAACGUUGCCUCGGCAGGUCGCACCUACCUUGUAGCACCCUACCCUGUAGGGCCUACCCGGGAGGUGCGGGUAAGCCUGCCGGCGGCCCACCAAACUCUGUUUGAUAUUGAAUUCUGAACCUAUAACUAAAUAAGUUAAAACUUUCAACAACGGAUCUCUUGGUUCUGGCAUCGAUGAAGAACGCAGCGAAAUGCGAUAAGUAAUGUGAAUUGCAGAAUUCAGUGAAUCAUCGAAUCUUUGAACGCAUAUUGCGCCCAUUAGUAUUCUAGUGGGCAGGACCGUUCGAGCGUCAUUUCAACCCUUAAGCCUUCGUUGCUUAGUGUUGGGAGCCUACGGCAACGUAGCUCCUCAAAGUUAGUGGCGGAGUUGGUUCACACUCUAGACGUAGUAAUUUUUUAUCUCGCCUAUUAGUUGGACUAAUCCCCUGCCGUAAAACCCCCAAUUUAUCAAGGUUGACCUCGAAUCGGUUCAGACAAACUCGCUAAAUUGAAGCAUCUUAGUCAGCGAAGGAAAAGAAACCAACAGG
This 567-nucleotide ribosomal RNA is filed under the name fungal endophyte. Its description in RNAcentral is "eukaryotic LSU rRNA". The stretch from base 180 to 333 matches the Rfam family "5.8S ribosomal RNA". The record is from RNAcentral. Lineage: Eukaryota; Fungi.